AUUGAACGCUGGCGGCAUGCCUUACACAUGCAAGUCGAACGGCAGCACGGGGGCAACCCUGGUGGCGAGUGGCGAACGGGUGAGUAAUACAUCGGAACGUGCCCCGUAGCGGGGGACAACCAGUCGAAAGACUGGCUAAUACCGCAUACGCUCCACGGAGGAAAGCAGGGGACCGCAAGACCUUGCACUAUGGGAGCGGCCGAUGCCCGAUUAGCUAGUUGGUGAGGAAAGGCUCACCAAGGCAACGAUCGGUAGCUGGUCUGAGAGGACGACCAGCCACACUGGGACUGAGACACGGCCCAGACUCCUACGGGAGGCAGCAGUGGGAAUUUUGGACAAUGGGCGCAAGCCUGAUCAGCCAUGCCGCGUGCGGGAAGAAGGCCUGGU
RNAcentral lists this ribosomal RNA (387 nucleotides) under uncultured bacterium. Its description in RNAcentral is "bacterial SSU rRNA". It matches the Rfam family "Bacterial small subunit ribosomal RNA", at positions 29 to 420 of the family's 1533-position model. The record is from RNAcentral.